UACGUAGGGUGCGAGCGUUAAUCGGAAUUACUGGGCGUAAAGCGUGCGCAGGCGGUUUUGUAAGCCAGAUGUGAAAUCCCCGGGCUUAACCUGGGAAUGGCAUUUGGGACUGCAAGGCUCGAGUGCGGCAGAGGAGACUGGAAUUCCUGGUGUAGCAGUGAAAUGCGUAGAUAUCAGGAGGAACACCGAUGGCGAAGGCAGGUCUCUGGGCUGACACUGACGCUGAGUGCGCGAAAGCCAGGGGAGCAAACGGG
Molecule: ribosomal RNA, 254 nt
Filed under: uncultured bacterium
Lineage: Bacteria
Description: partial 16S ribosomal RNA
Rfam family: Bacterial small subunit ribosomal RNA
Source: RNAcentral